GGCUCUGUGGCGCAAUGGAUAGCGCGUUGGACUUCUAUUUCAAAGGUUGUGGGUUCCAGUCCCACCAAAGUCG
RNAcentral lists this transfer RNA (73 nucleotides) under Oreochromis niloticus (Nile tilapia). RNAcentral's name for it is "tRNA-Arg (TCT) (tRNA-Arg-TCT-20-1)". It matches the Rfam family "tRNA". Rfam says of the family: Transfer RNA (tRNA) molecules are approximately 80 nucleotides in length. Their secondary structure includes four short double-helical elements and three loops (D, anti-codon, and T loops). Lineage: Eukaryota; Metazoa; Chordata; Actinopteri; Cichliformes; Cichlidae. The record is from RNAcentral.